GGGCUAGUGGCGUAGUGGUUAUCGCGUCUGUCUUACACGAAUCUGAUUGCUUACGUAAUCAUUACGUAAGCAUAGUGUCACAGAAGGUCCUCAGUUCGAACCUGGGCUAACUCA
Non-coding RNA from Abortiporus biennis, 114 nucleotides. Lineage: Eukaryota; Fungi; Basidiomycota; Agaricomycetes; Polyporales; Podoscyphaceae. The record is from the annotation of a GenBank genome assembly.